Small nuclear RNA from Oryctolagus cuniculus (rabbit), 105 nucleotides. NCBI's taxonomy places the organism in Eukaryota, Metazoa, Chordata, Mammalia, Lagomorpha, Leporidae. The record is from Ensembl.
GUGGUCACUUCAGCAGCACAUAUACUAAGACUGAAAUGAUACAGACAAAAUUAGCACAGCCGCUGCUCAAGGGUGACAUGUGAAUAUCACGUACUCCACAUUUUU